Paramuricea clavata is the source of this 155-nucleotide non-coding RNA. The record is from the annotation of a GenBank genome assembly. NCBI's taxonomy places the organism in Eukaryota, Metazoa, Cnidaria, Anthozoa, Malacalcyonacea, Plexauridae.
UGAAAUUCAAACACCCAUAUAGCUCGCAAUAGAGCCUUAUAUUCUAUUGCGAGUUAUAUGAGUGUCUGAAAUUCAGACACACUAUAUACGGGUGUCCGAAUUUCGGACACUCUUAUAUUAUAUUGCGCGCGAGUUAUAUGGGUGUCUGAAUUUCA